This 3741-nucleotide long non-coding RNA is filed under the name Hordeum vulgare. RNAcentral's name for it is "long non-coding RNA (HVUL_LNC005647)". The record is from RNAcentral. Lineage: Eukaryota; Viridiplantae; Streptophyta; Magnoliopsida; Poales; Poaceae.
AUCGACGAUGUAAUUGCUAGUUAUUGGCUACCAGUACAGAAUGCUCCAGCACGUACAACUCCCUCUGCGGAAGAAAAGAAUAGUUACAUUUGUCAGAACUCAGAUGUACCUCUCUACAAGCUCCUCCUUUUUUUCUGAAAUUUGGUGAUUUGGGUUGAUAAGAUCAACUAAGCAAGUGGUCUACUGGAACACCAGCUGUAGCCUGCUCACGCGGCCCAUUACGCGCGGUUGGAAAAGUCACACGUAUAUUUGCGCGGACGAAAAACGACAGCAUAGAUAGUUUAUGAAUAUUAAACUCGUGAAGGAUAGCAUUCCACGUAUACUAUUUUUUUUCGAAUACAAACAUGUGUAGAUCAAAUAUGUAUUCUAGGGGAGACAAGGCAUAUUCACUAUGACGGACGAGCUUUGAGAUGGUUUAAUUAACCAUACACUUCAAUAAGUAUGGUCUAUUAUGUGACACAUAGUCAAUUAAUUAUGCAAUACAUAAACUGUGGUUAAUUACUCAAUCAUGCAUUCUACUACUAGUAUGUGGCAUGUAGUUCAUUGUCAUGGCAUCCAGGUAUAAGUGCUAGUACCUACUUGCAGGAAGGUAUAUUUAUUAACUUUAACAUUCAAUAUACAGUUGUACACGGAAAUAUUAUUCGCAGACUAGGAAGCACGGUAUAUCAUUUACACCUCCAGUCCAGAAAUUCUAUAUUAAGAUGUCCCCUGAUGUUCAUUGAUUACCAUAUAAUAACAAGCAAACUGCCAUGGGUAUUAAUGAACAUCUAUUAGUAGUAUCAGUUUACUCCAAGAGUACGGAGCUGCGUACUGGAUUAAGCAGUAUAGAUGUAUGGUAUCUUUCUUCUUCAAUAUAGAUGUAUGGUAUCUUUCUUCUUCAAUGGACUGGCAUUCAGUACCGUUUCUUUAUUUCUCUAAUUUUCCCUUUAAUUGCAUAGAAAUCCAUACUGCUUGCCGUGCACGUUUAGCAAACAGCAACGGAAAUUUCCAGGUCAGGAUUUACAAGUGUAUCGUAUCCGUAGGCUGUAGUAAGCUAAGCACAUGAUGCGCGGUCGAAAAAGCCACGCGUAUAUUUCUGCAGAUGAAAAACGACAGCGGAAAUAGUUUAUCGACAGUAAGCUCGUGUUUUAAGCUAAAUCAAAAGGAGUAUAUGCGAUUGCCAUGCAAAUUCUUGUCUAAUCCACUUUCUUCAACCUUUCGUUCUCUUGUCAAUUUUUUGCUUUCCUACAUAUAUGAUUGAUCUGAAAUCUAGUAAAGGGAGUGAACAAUUAAUAUAGAGAUACCAUAUACAAACAUUAACACAGAGUCAAACAUGGAGAUUUUCAAUGAUAUUGCAUUGUCAGGUUUGAUAACAUUCUUUUGGAGCUCAAUUACCUUGAGCCAAAUCAGUUAAUUACUCUGCAUGCUUAAUUGACCCAUUUAAUUUUCCUUCCAUCGUCGCAUAUGUUCAAUCAUUCAACUUUCCAGGCCUAUAAUUUCCAUCUGUUCAACUAGGUUGCAGCUUCCAGAAGGUCUAUCUUUUCUCUAGUAUUUGCCACUCGUGGCUUAUUUUCUUCUUGUUAACUACUCAAUUAUACAUUGUACUCUGUGGCAUGUAGUACUACUUAAUUGUCGUGGAAUCCAGGUAGUAGUAUUUACUAACACAUUCAUUGUACAGUCAUACAUGGAACAAUAACAUUCGUGGACUAGGAAAUAUAUUAACAACCAAACUGACUAUGGGUAUUAAUGAAUGUGUUANNNNNNNNNNAUGUCCCCUGAUGGUCAUUGAUUACCAUAUAUUAACAAGCAAACUGCCUAUGGGUAUUAAUGAAUAUCUAGUAUCGGCUUACUCCAAGAGUACAGAGCUGUGUACCGGAUUAAGCAACCUAGAUGUACGGCAUCUUUCUCCUUCAAUGGACUGGCAUUCACUACUGUUUCUUUACUUAUCUGAUUUUCCCUUUAAUUGCAUAAAAACCUACACAGCUUGCCGUGCACGUUUAGCAAACAGCAAUGGAAAUUUCCAGGUCGGGAUUUGCAAGCGUAUCUUAUUCGUAGGCUGUGGUAGGCUAGGUGUACCAAUCUGUUGGAAAGAGAAACCUCCAAUCAACCCUACCAUUACACCAAGAUGAUGGUGAUACCUAUCCUUCACGAACAACCAACUUGUCCGAACGGAUAAAUUUCUCCCUUUCAAGAAUUGAAGCGGUGAUGGAGGAUAGGAAUAAAUCUAGAAAGUGAAACUGGUCUAUUCUCCAUCCCACUGGGACACCCAUGGCAUCUUCCUCUCCAUAUAGUUAAUCCAUGGACGUCGUGCAUGACAAGUAGCUCCUAAUUAUCAUGACACAUCACUCUUCCCCUUGCUGAUAAUGGACUAGUAGAACAGAAGAUGUGGUUGCCUUCUCUGCCUAGCAUGACUAUCAUGGGGGCCACAAUCCUGAAUUGUCAAUCCUAAUAACUUCUCAACAGUUCUCUCUUACUUUAUAUAUGGCCAUCACCUUCUAACUAACAUGCCAGUGUCACAAUCAAUGCAGCAUUAUACACAACCUGGCUGUAGUAGACCUUACAGAAACUACCACCAAAUAAAGUUAACAUUUGUACGUUUGCUGAAUGAACUUUGGCUAAGAUUGUGUGUCAUUUAAGAGCACCCUUCUGAUGGUGUUAUCCCAUCAUGGAUACUAAGUUUUCAUUAGAUAUACAUGUGCAAGAUAUUGUCUCCCAUUCCAUACAAAAUUAUACUAGUAUUACCAAUAAUGCCACAUUGAUAUUGACAUAUGGCACACACCUGAUCACCGUAUUAUUAUUGUGCUGGUUGAAAUAGAAGUGCAGAUGCCAAUAUUAUUUUUUUUGUGAUAUAUAAGCUUUCCUGUCCUAAAGCAGAAUGGCAUUUACAUCAGAGUGAUUGCAGUUAUUAUAGUAUGCCCUAGAGAGACAAUGUACCAGCAGCAAUACAUUAUGGCUAUGCCCCCAUGUCUCACUCCUGGACUUUUGGGGGAUCAAGCACUUCACUACGCCAUUUAACAUUAGUAUGUGUAUUAAUAAGGUCCUGUGUGUGUGUGUGCAUGUCAUGUGCUCCUUUAAGGAAUGGAAUAGGAUUUCAAGUCUGUGAUUAAAUGUUUGAUGUAGUCAAAGACACCAUCCUUUAAAGAGAAUCCUAACAAAAGGCACGCAUGAUGAACAAUUUAACUUGGCAAUAUUUAUAAGGGUUGGGCCCAUGCCUGUUGUCUUAACCACUAACAGCAAGAAAGUUCCACAUUUAGGUAAUCCUUUAAGGCUAAAUCAGCAAGACACUUGAAUGUCAGCAAACAUUUGUUUUAAUGCCAUAAAUAUACUCUAGGUAUCAUUGUCAUAUUCCUUCUACUCCAGCUUUGAAUUAAGUAACCCCAUAACUCAAAACACUGUUCAGCUCUAAAAUAGACAUAGGCUCAAUUAAUUGGGAGGUUCAUCUGAAUUUUCAUUCCUAUUCAGGUUUCACUACUAGUUUUCCAUGCCCCAUGAUCGCACACAUGAAAACAGAAAUAUAAGUAAUCUGCACGUGGAACCGCAAAAUUUUAGGUUGGAAGGAAGAAAGGCAUCCCUGUUCAUAUGCUAACCUGAUGCUGAAACUUUUCUCUCUUUGGAUCUUCAAGCCUCCUUUUUCAGUACAGAAGGGCUCUAUUUCUCUGUCCAUCACAAGUCAAACACAAUUAAGAUAUGCACCCUGCAAAAAAUACAGAUUGUUACAGAAAGAAGUAAAAUCUACCUCCUAAUAUACAAGAGAAAAAAAAA